RNAcentral lists this transfer RNA (72 nucleotides) under Nanobdellota archaeon. RNAcentral's name for it is "tRNA-Cys". It matches the Rfam family "tRNA". Rfam says of the family: Transfer RNA (tRNA) molecules are approximately 80 nucleotides in length. Their secondary structure includes four short double-helical elements and three loops (D, anti-codon, and T loops). Lineage: Archaea; Nanobdellati; Nanobdellota. The record is from RNAcentral.
GCAGGUAUGGCCAAGCGGCUAAGGCAAGAGGCUGCAACCCUCUGAUCCCAGGUUCGAGUCCUGGUACCUGCU